RNAcentral lists this long non-coding RNA (471 nucleotides) under Equus asinus (donkey). RNAcentral's name for it is "lncRNA (ENSEASG00005035818.1)". The record is from RNAcentral. Lineage: Eukaryota; Metazoa; Chordata; Mammalia; Perissodactyla; Equidae.
AGACUGAGAGGAGGAGCCAAUAAAGAGGCUGAGAAAGAGAUGACUGACAGCAAGGACAGGGCAGAUACAGCGGGAGAUUGAGCUGGGCCACCAGUGUGGGUUGGCCUUGAGCUGGUAAGGGACAUUGAGACUUCUAGAGUGAAGGAAAAGAAAGUAAAAACCAAUGAAUAUAGAUAUGUUUACAGAGAAAUUGAGCGAGACCUCCCUGAUGACCUCAAUUUUUCCACUGAUGUAAAGGCAAGGUCAUCUGCUGAGAAUGAAAUCAGCAGUUGUUUGGAGAAAGGACUUGGGAGCCUGAGAUCAAGACAUAGAACCUUGAGGCCAGCCCCAUGGCUAAGUUCACACACUCUGCUUCAAUGGCCCAGGGUUUCACCAGUUCAGAUCCUGAGUAUGGACAUGGCACCACUCAUCAAGCCAUGCUGAGGUGGCGUCCCACACAGCACAACCAGAAGGACCCACAACUAGAAUAUU